This 79-nucleotide microRNA precursor is filed under the name Penaeus japonicus. RNAcentral describes it as "microRNA mja-mir-6494 precursor". The record is from miRBase by way of RNAcentral. Lineage: Eukaryota; Metazoa; Arthropoda; Malacostraca; Decapoda; Penaeidae.
GAGUAGGAGGGCGCGGUGGUGAGCGUAAAAGGAUACGGCGCGAGCCGGUCUGGAGCCGCCACUGGUGCGGAUCUUGGGG